GAUGAACGCUGGCGGCGUGCUUAACACAUGCAAGUCGAACGGAAACAUAUUGAAACCUAGUGAUAUAUGUUUUAGUGGCGGACGGGUGAGUAACGCGUGGGUAACCUGCCUUGUACUGGGGGAUAACAGUUAGAAAUAGCUGCUAAUACCGCAUAAGACCACAGUUUCGCAUGAAACAGAGGUAAAAACUCCGGUGGUACAAGAUGGACCCGCGUCUGAUUAGCUAGUUGGUGAGGUAACGGCUCACCAAGGCGACGAUCAGUAGCCGGCCUGAGAGGGUGAACGGCCACAUUGGGACUGAGACACGGCCCAA
RNAcentral lists this ribosomal RNA (313 nucleotides) under uncultured bacterium. RNAcentral's name for it is "bacterial SSU rRNA". It matches the Rfam family "Bacterial small subunit ribosomal RNA", at positions 28 to 334 of the family's 1533-position model. The record is from RNAcentral.